This 30-nucleotide non-coding RNA is filed under the name Mus musculus (house mouse). The record is from RNAcentral. Lineage: Eukaryota; Metazoa; Chordata; Mammalia; Rodentia; Muridae.
UCUAUGUUUAAGAGGCACGUCACCUGACGA